CAUUAUGCCUAGCCCUAAAUAUUGAUAGAGAACUACACCCACUAUCCGCCCGGGUACUACGAGCAUCAGCUUAAAACCCAAAGGACUUGGCGGUGCUUUAGAUCCACCUAGAGGAGCCUGUUCUAGAACCGAUAACCCCCGUUCAACCUCACCCUUCCUUGUUUACCCCGCCUAUAUACCACCGUCGUCAGCUUACCCUGUGAAGGCCCAACAGUAAGCAGAAUUGGCACACCCCAAAACGUCAGGUCGAGGUGUAGCGCAUGGAAGGGGAAGAAAUGGGCUACAUUCACUGCAUCAGUGAAUACGGAUAGUGCAUUGAAACAUGCACUUGAAGGAGGAUUUAGCAGUAAGUAGAAAGCAGAGUGUUCCACUGAAAAUGGCCCUGAAGCGCGCACACACCGCCCGUCACUCUCCCCGAGCUCCCCAAAACCCAACUAACUAAAACCAGCACUAGCAAUUAGGGGAGGCAAGUCGUAA
This 477-nucleotide ribosomal RNA is filed under the name Diagramma pictum (painted sweetlips). RNAcentral's name for it is "Diagramma picta (painted sweetlips) partial small subunit ribosomal RNA". It matches the Rfam family "Bacterial small subunit ribosomal RNA", at positions 788 to 1491 of the family's 1533-position model. The record is from RNAcentral. Lineage: Eukaryota; Metazoa; Chordata; Actinopteri; Lutjaniformes; Haemulidae.